This 253-nucleotide ribosomal RNA is filed under the name uncultured bacterium. RNAcentral describes it as "partial 16S ribosomal RNA". It matches the Rfam family "Bacterial small subunit ribosomal RNA", at positions 524 to 776 of the family's 1533-position model. The record is from RNAcentral.
UACGUAGGGUGCGAGCGUUAAUCGGAAUUACUGGGCGUAAAGCGUGCGCAGGCGGUUUCUGAAGUCCGUUGUGAAAGCCCCGGGCUCAACCUGGGAAUGGCAGUGGAAACUAGGAGACUUGAAUCUGGCAGAGGGGGGUGGAAUGCCACGUGUAGCAGUGAAAUGCGUAGAGAUGUGGCGGAACACCGAUGGCGAAGGCAGCCCCCUGGGUCAAGAUUGACGCUCAGGCACGAAAGCGUGGGGAGCAAACAGG